ACGUUAGCGGCGGACGGGUGAGUAACACGUGGGUAACCUACCUAUAAGACUGGGAUAACUUCGGGAAACCGGAGCUAAUACCGGAUAAUAUUCGAACCGCAUGGUUCGAUAGUGAAAGAUGGUUUUGCUAUCACUUAUAGAUGGACCCGCGCCGUAUUAGCUAGUUGGUAAGGUAACGGCUUACCAAGGCGACGAUACGUAGCCGACCUGAGAGGGUGAUCGGCCACACUGGAACUGAGACACGGUCCAGACUCCUACGGGAGGCAGCAGCG
Molecule: ribosomal RNA, 272 nt
Filed under: uncultured Staphylococcus sp.
Lineage: Bacteria; Bacillati; Bacillota; Bacilli; Caryophanales; Staphylococcaceae
Description: partial 16S ribosomal RNA
Rfam family: Bacterial small subunit ribosomal RNA
Source: RNAcentral